GGCGGGGUACGGCCCGGCCGUGGCGAGCCGAGCCGGGCGGCAGGGAGCAGAGAGCAACGCCAUGGCUUUCGCGCGGUGGUGGUACGCCAUGCAUGGUGACAAGAAGGCAAGUGGAGCUUCUUCCAAAUCAGGAGAGAAAGGAGGAGAUGUGGCAGAGAAGAAACCAGCUAGUGUCAGCCAACCCCUCAAAACACAGAAAAGUGAAGCACCUUCUGCUGUUAAGAAGCAGUCCCCUGCUGUGGAUGCAUCAAAACCUCAAACCAUGAAGCCAUCUGAAACAAAGCCAACAGACUCUCAAAAUAAACAGCCAUCUGAAGAGAGGCAAAAGGAACCCAGUGGUGCAAAAAGCCAAACUUCCCCUUCUCUGACAACAAAUAAUGCAGAAAAAGUAACUACAGCUCAAGCUGGCCAGCCUCCACAAGCAAUCUCCAUAGAGACAGUAAAGCCCAAAUCUGAGAAGAUGUCCAUAGAGGCUGGUGCAGCCAGUGCAGGUGCAGCUGGUGCAAGUGUGGUUCCUGUGGCUGAUAAGUCAAGCGCCGAGCCUGGAAUGGAUGUGUUAGCUCUAGAUAGCCUAAUAGAUACCCUGGGUGGACCUGAAGAAGAUGUCCCUACUAGUCCUGUUUACACUGGUCCAGAAGUUACGGAAGAUAUAUCUUCAAGAUACCUGGAAGAACUGGGUAAACGAGAAGGUAGUCUCCCUCCAGAGUAUGUUAAAUUAUUGAAGAGCAAAAGGGGUGGCAAAGAUGGAUUCCCACCAAAAGCAGAUGAACGAGAGGAAAAACUUAUGACAGAUGAUGAGCUUGCAGAGGCCUUGUCAUCGGACUUUACCUGUAGUACUGCUUUUGCUGAAGAAAAGACAAGUGUGACAGAGAAACCAAGUAAGGAAGGAGAAAUUGUGAAAGCACAAGCAGCAAGUUCAGUCAAGACCUCAGUUCCUCCUAAGGAAAAGAAAACAAAAUCAGAAGAGAAAAUUAAAGAUGAUGCAGUGGAAGCUCUUCUUGAUACUCUUGGUGGACCUGAACCAGAACCUGAAGAAGAUCAGACCCCUGUUGUAGAGGUGUCAGAGGCUAAAGCUAAGGAGAAAAAAUUAAAAAAGGCUGGAGAACUUGAUGAUACGAUACCUCCAGAAUACAGGCUAACAGCAAAGUUGGAUAAAGAUGGAAAACCGGUAUUGCCAAAGCCUGAAGGAAAACCUAAGCCUUUGAGUGAAUCUGAUCUUGUUGAUGAAUUUUCAGAAGACUUUGCCUGCCCUGCCCAGCCUGCAGUACAAUCCAAACCAUCAAAGCCCAGCAGCACAUCCAAAAAGCCUUCGAAUCCUGUGGCUGCAAAAACUACUGAGGAUGAAGCAGUCCCUUGUGCCACAGCUUGCACUGUGCAGUCUUCAGCUGCAGCAGCUGUGUCUUCAGUUGGCCAAGUGGCAGAUGAAGCACUGGAAGCCUUAUCUAGUACCCUGGGAAAGACAGAGCCUGAUCCAGAUGAAAAGAAGCCUGCUGUGGACAAAGUUAAGGAGAAAACCAAACAGGAACAACACAAAAAACUGGGUGAAGAUGAAGAAACAAUUCCUCCAGAGUACAGAUUAGCAGAAGCAAAAGAUAAAGAUGGAAAACCACUCUUACCAAAACCAGAAGAAAAGUCCCAGCCUAUGAGUGAAAAUGAUCUUUUAGAGGGUUUGUCAGAAGGAUUUUCCUAUUCUCCAUCACCAUCUGCACCAUUACCUACACCAACGGUAAUAAAGAAAGCCAAGAAGGGCAAAAAUUCUGCAGAUUCCUCCAGCAUUGUCUCUGCUGCUACAGUUUCUUCAGUGCACUCAGCAGCUCUUCUGGCUUCUACCUCCGGAGGGAAAGAGAUGGAUGAAGCCUUGGAUCUCUUAUCUGAUUCCCUGGGACAGAGGGAACCUGACCCUGAUGAGAACAAACCGGUUAUGGACAAAGUAAAGGAAAAGGCUAAAUCUGAACACAGAGACAAACUUGGAGAAAGAGACGAUACUAUCCCACCUGACUAUCGAGAACUUCUGGAGUCAGGUGAGCAGGUAAGGAAAAGUUGGUUUUAUUAACUUUGUUAGUUUGGACUUGCAACACCAUAAAUCUGUGCGUAUGAGCCAGUCUGUCCUCAUUGGUUUUAUCAGAAGAAGGAAGCUGAGGAAGUGUGUAGUAUAUUUUUAUAUUUGUAUUAAACAUGUAAAUAUCCUACAGAUAGAGUAGCUCUGUAUUUCCUUGCAUGCAUUUAAUUCAAAAAACAAACAAAAAAAGUAGGUUUUGGUUUGCUGUGGGGUUUUGGGGGGAUUUGAUUUGUUUUGUUUUGUUUUAAUUGAGCAGUCUGAACAAAUAGAUCAUUUUGAACCAUCCAGUAGCCAUCAGUGUCCUGCAGAUUUAGCAGUAUAGAUUCCAGUGACACUGGCCCAGUGUUGUAGGUGCUCUGGAAAACUAGGUGAAAAAAAGUGUCACCCUUUAAACAACUUGUCUUUAUAAUCUGCUUUUAAACAGGACAUACUUGCAAACUGUGGGUAGUAAUGCUUAUUCAUUCCAAGUAGUUUCAUUCUGAGUUGGGAAUAAAGCAUAUAAAUAGGUAUUACCUUGGUGGUAUACCUAAAGCCUUGUAAAACUGCCAUUCACUGGAGCACGUGGCUGCUCUGACAGUGGUUUGAUCUUUUCUGGAUGGGAAAAUUGUUUUUCCAGUAGACUACACAGAUAGAAAGAUGAUAUUGCAAAUGUGGUAAUAGAGCAUGAAAAGAUACCGUGAACUGUCUUUGAGUACAUAGCACAAGAAAUAAAGAAAUCAACUUUCUUCGUGAUCUGUAAUGUCAUACAUAAGUAUACAUGUAUCUUAAACCUGAUCUAACCAGUUCAAAAUGAGGAUGUAAUCCCAAGGGUAAACCAGUAAAGCCAACAGCAAAGGGUGAUGUGAAACACAAAGAAUCAAAGGUAACAUUUAUGGUGUUUUUGUUCUGUGCUUGUUUCAUGUCGUGUCCUCUGAUCUGUUUUCCAAAGUAGCGUCAUUAUAGGCUCAGGGCAUGAUUCAUUGCAAAUUCUCAUAAAUGCUAUUGAAUGGAGUAAGUUAUAGUAACCGUGUGGAUAGUAAAACUUCUAUGAAGAUUAACUGUUCACAAUAAUUACAGUUUUUAUAUGCAACUACACUGUGAACGUUCAGGUCCAGUACUGAAAGAAAUUGCAUGUCUUGGAAACCUCAAAUAGACAUCUCUGUCCUAACAUAUGUGUAGAGCCCAGGUAUAGUUUAGUUUUGGUUUUGGGUUGGUUUUUGUUUUGUUUUGUUUUUUAAGAAAAGCAUAAUUAAAGCAGACAUAAAUCCCUGAAACAUUAAGUUGACUGGGGGAAGUAUUGCAUAUUGUGUGACUUCAGAAUUAAAAUUAUUGCAGAAGCCUGUGGAUGACUCUGCAGCUAUCGACGCCCUGUCAGGUGACUCUGAUACUUGCGCAAAGGCUCCUGCCACACCACAGCACUCAAAGGACAAAAGUGGAAAGGAAACCACUAAGCCAACCCCAAAGGCUAAAGGAAAACCCAAAGACCCUAAAACGGCAAAGGAACAGUCCUCCAGCAGCAAAUCUGAGAAGCAGAAAACAAGCUAAACGUUAACAUUAUUGGGAUCUUGGUGCAUCACAUAAAACAUCUUCUUUCUCUUGGUGGAUAAUAAUUCCUGAAGAACAAAAGCUGAUGCAAAAACCAUAUGGUUAUGCUGGGUGGUCUUUGUAUGGUGAAACUUGCUGGACUUUUUCCAUAUUUUCUUUUUUCCCAGUAGUGGACUAAGUUGUAUUAGGUUUUUUUUUCUUCCCAACCUAGCCAUUAAUUGUAUUAUACUCAUAUACUUUGACUUUUUCGUAAUUUUCUUCCGUUUUCAGAGGGAAAGGAUGCUUUAUAUUUGCAAGAAAUAUAUUUCAUAGUAGCAAUGCCAAAGAAAAAAAACCUGCAGAUUUUUGCACAUAAUCUCCACAUAGUGCCUGUAAAUCUCAGAAGAAUUUGUAUGUGCUAGCAUUUUUAACAUUGCAGCGAAUGCAUUAAGUAUUCUGGAAUAUAUUGAGCUUUAGUUAUCCUCAGCCUGGCUGUGCAUUCUUUCAGCAAGCCAGUUCCUGGUAGACCGUACAAGUAAGCUGUGGUAGGUAAAGACUGUAAAACUGGGGAUUAACUGCUUCAUCAAGCACAUGUAGUAAUAAAAGAGGUAUUUUGGAUGCUGCCUUAAUUGUAGUUAAAACAAGAAAAACACACCAGAUAAGGAUUUUAGGUUUCUACUUCUAGUGGUAUCUGUACUGUUAUCUUGCAAUUUCUGGAGUCUCCUGGACUGAACAAAUACAAAUCCUAGUGUAACAAUGACACCAUUACCAUCACAGCAGUGGAAAUAAAGAAGGUACACGAGCAUUACCAGAGAUUAAAGAGAAGUUCAAGUCAACAGGCGCACUCCUUUUUAUUUUAUUUUAAUUUGCACUGUUUCUAGUCCUCGCCUCUGUUCCUUGCGCUGCAGCAGGGAAUGUAGGGCAGAAGUUCGUGCUGCAAGGAACAUCAUGAUCACCUGCUCUGCAACGAACAGGCACAAGUAGGUGCCUCUUGCAAGUCUGCUGCAGACCAGGCUGUCCUGACAGAGGUGGCCAAGUUCCUCCAUGUGUUUUCCUCUGUCUUCACGCGUGUACCGCUUCUCCGUGAAGAAGGCCAUACCAACAUUCGAGACCAAAAUCUGACUCCAGUAUGUAGCAUUGCAGACAGAGACAGCCCGGAGAUUUAAAUUGGGGAUAUUUAGACUCUUGACUGUACUUCGCAGUCUGUACUGAGAACCUGUGUCACACUAAUAAAGUUUUUAAGAAUGCA
Strigops habroptila (Kakapo) is the source of this 4811-nucleotide RNA transcript. It is a transcript of the gene named calpastatin, with no coding region annotated. NCBI's taxonomy places the organism in Eukaryota, Metazoa, Chordata, Aves, Psittaciformes, Psittacidae. The record is from RefSeq and is a predicted model, not a curated record. The transcript has 27 exons.